AUGGAAAAUUGCAUUUUUGGAAUUUGCAAUAAUGCGAUGGGCGAACGACGGGAAUUGAACCCGCGCAUGGUGGAUUCACAAUCCACUGCCUUGAUCCACUUGGCUACAUCCGCCCCUUAUCCAGCUAAAGGAUUUUUUUUCUUUUUUCCAUUGAUCAUUAUUCUAUUUAUUCUGACCUCCGUACUUCGAUCGAGAUAUUGGACAUAG
RNAcentral lists this transfer RNA (207 nucleotides) under Triticum aestivum (bread wheat). RNAcentral's name for it is "partial small subunit ribosomal RNA". The record is from RNAcentral. Lineage: Eukaryota; Viridiplantae; Streptophyta; Magnoliopsida; Poales; Poaceae.